Molecule: ribosomal RNA, 206 nt
Filed under: uncultured bacterium
Lineage: Bacteria
Description: partial 16S ribosomal RNA
Rfam family: Bacterial small subunit ribosomal RNA
Source: RNAcentral
CGCGCAGGCGGCUUGGCAAGUCGGGUGUGAAAUCCCGGGGCUCAACCCCGUGACUGCAUCCGAUACUGUCAGGCUAGAGGUAGGUAGGGGAGAUCGGAAUUCCUGGUGUAGCGGUGAAAUGCGCAGAUAUCAGGAGGAACACCGGUGGCGAAGGCGGAUCUCUGGGCCUUACCUGACGCUCAGGCGCGAAAGCUAGGGAGCGAACA